Molecule: ribosomal RNA, 546 nt
Filed under: uncultured Massilia sp.
Lineage: Bacteria; Pseudomonadati; Pseudomonadota; Betaproteobacteria; Burkholderiales; Oxalobacteraceae
Description: bacterial SSU rRNA
Rfam family: Bacterial small subunit ribosomal RNA
Source: RNAcentral
GGCGAGUGGCGAACGGGUGAGUAAUAUAUCGGAACGUACCCAAGAGUGGGGGAUAACGUAGCGAAAGUUACGCUAAUACCGCAUACGAUCUAAGGAUGAAAGCAGGGGACCGCAAGGCCUUGUGCUCCUGGAGCGGCCGAUAUCUGAUUAGCUAGUUGGUAGGGUAAAGGCCUACCAAGGCUUCGAUCAGUAGCUGGUCUGAGAGGACGACCAGCCACACUGGAACUGAGACACGGUCCAGACUCCUACGGGAGGCAGCAGUGGGGAAUUUUGGACAAUGGGCGCAAGCCUGAUCCAGCAAUGCCGCGUGAGUGAAGAAGGCCUUCGGGUUGUAAAGCUCUUUUGUCAGGGAAGAAACGGUGGAGGUUAAUACCUUCCACUAAUGACGGUACCUGAAGAAUAAGCACCGGCUAACUACGUGCCAGCAGCCGCGGUAAUACGUAGGGUGCAAGCGUUAAUCGGAAUUACUGGGCGUAAAGCGUGCGCAGGCGGUUUUGUAAGUCUGUCGUGAAAGCCCCGGGCUCAACCUGGGAAUUGCGAUGGAGA